GGCGAACGGGUGAGUAACACGUGGGUAACCUGCCCCCAUCUCUGGGAUAACCGUUGGAAACGGCGGCUAAUACCGGAUACGACUCGGCCCUGCAUGGGGUUGAGUGGAAAGUUUUUGCGGUUGGGGAGGGGCCCGCGGCCUAUCAGCUGGUUGGUGGGGUGAUGGCCUACCAAGGCGUUGACGGGUAGCCGGCCUGAGAGGGCGGUCGGUCACAUUGGGACUGAGAUACGGCCCAGACUCCUACGGGAGGCAGCAGUGGGGAAUUUUGCACAAUGGGCGGAAGCCUGAUGCAGCGACGCCGCGUGAGGGAUGACGGCUUUCGGGUUGUAAACCUCUUUUAUCCACCACGAAGGCUCCGUAUUCGCGGGGUUGACGGUAGUGGUUGAAUAAGCGCCGGCUAACUACGUGCCAGCAGCCGCGGUAAGACGUAGGGCGCGAGCGUUGUCCGGAUUUAUUGGGCGUAAAGGGCUCGUAGGCGGUUGAUUGCGUCCGCCGUGAAAGGCCUCGGCUUAACCGGGGUUUUGCGGUGGAUACGGGUUGACUUGAGGCAAUUAGGGGAGAUCGGAAUUCUACGUGUAGCGGUGAAAUGCGCAGAUAUGUGGAGGAACACCGGUGGCGAAGGCGGAUCUCUGGGAUUGUUC
RNAcentral lists this ribosomal RNA (641 nucleotides) under Glycomyces sp. I12A-02529. RNAcentral describes it as "bacterial SSU rRNA". It matches the Rfam family "Bacterial small subunit ribosomal RNA", at positions 97 to 740 of the family's 1533-position model. Lineage: Bacteria; Bacillati; Actinomycetota; Actinomycetes; Glycomycetales; Glycomycetaceae. The record is from RNAcentral.